ACGAACGCUGGCGGCGUGCCUAAUACAUGCAAGUCGAACGAGAGCGACCGGUGCUUGCACUGGUCAAUCUAGUGGCGAACGGGUGAGUAACACGUGGGUAACCUGCCCAUCAGAGGGGGAUAACAUCCGGAAACGGAUGCUAAAACCGCAUAGGUCUUCGAACCGCAUGGUUUGAAGAGGAAAAGAGGCGCAAGCUUCUGCUGAUGGAUGGACCCGCGGUGCAUUAGCUAGUUGGUGAGGUAACGGCUCACCAAGGCCGUGAUGCAUAGCCGACCUGAGAGGGUGAUCGGCCACAUUGGGACUGAGACACGGCCCAAACUCCUACGGGAGGCAGCAGUAGGGAAUCUUCCGCAAUGGACGCAAGUCUGACGGAGCAACGCCGCGUGAGUGAAGAAGGUGUUCGGAUCGUAAAACUCUGUUGUUAGAGAAGAACAAGUGCUAGAGUAACUGUUAGCGCCUUGACGGUAUCUAACCAGAAAGCCACGGCUAACUACGUG
Molecule: ribosomal RNA, 497 nt
Filed under: uncultured bacterium
Lineage: Bacteria
Description: partial 16S ribosomal RNA
Rfam family: Bacterial small subunit ribosomal RNA
Source: RNAcentral